Molecule: transfer RNA, 73 nt
Filed under: Anemone nemorosa
Lineage: Eukaryota; Viridiplantae; Streptophyta; Magnoliopsida; Ranunculales; Ranunculaceae
Also listed under: 5 other names
Description: tRNA-Ile
Source: RNAcentral
GCUCGAUUUAGAUCGGGAAAAUCGUACGGAUUUUAUGAAACCGUGUGCUAUGGCUCGAAUCCGUAGUCAAUCC